This 417-nucleotide long non-coding RNA is filed under the name Cercocebus atys (sooty mangabey). RNAcentral describes it as "lncRNA (ENSCATG00000045863.1)". Lineage: Eukaryota; Metazoa; Chordata; Mammalia; Primates; Cercopithecidae. The record is from RNAcentral.
UACUUCUGGUCUCAUCUUUUCCCCCUCCCCUGCAGGAACUCGGUACUUGGGGGAAAAAAAUGAAAUGAAUGAAUCAUCUCUCCCUUCUCCUCCAACCAACCAACAAAUUAAUGGACCACCAUCAACAAAAGGUUCCAUUGAAGAUUUGAUGAAGGCAAAGAAGCUGCAACACCUUUCAGACCUUUGGGCUCACACCAUGAAUACCUCUGAUCUUGAAGACAAACGACAAUUUGGGUUCAGCAGGUACAUAGAAGUUGCCAGCUUUUCUUGCCAUCCUCGUCCUUCAAAUUUCAGUUCUGUACAUCUGCCUAUAUUCCUUGUGAUAGUGCUUCGCUUUUUCUUAGAUAAGCUUCCUCCUUUUGCCUUUUGAAGCGUCUUUUGGGUAAACUUCUUUCUCAGGUGCUUGAUCUUCCUCUC